RNAcentral lists this unclassified non-coding RNA (235 nucleotides) under Hevea brasiliensis (rubber tree). The record is from RNAcentral. Lineage: Eukaryota; Viridiplantae; Streptophyta; Magnoliopsida; Malpighiales; Euphorbiaceae.
GGAAGGGCUGCUUCUGAUACUUAUGUUGUAACUAGGCUUAGCUUUAGACUCUUGCGAUAUCUCGGGGUAGGGUACAGAUGGAUCGUCAGGUUUCUUGCCCUUGGCUGUUAUGCUAUGCUGCUUAUACCUGGUUUUAUUCAAGUUGGAUAUUACUAUUUCUAUUCCAGUCAAGUACGUAGAGGGAUUGUUUAUGGUGAUCAACCAAGAAAUAGGCUUGAUUUGUAUUUACCAAAAA